AAAAAAGCCAAAAUUUUUAGUAAACCUAAACUUAUAGCAAGCAUCCCUGGUCAUUUUGGGGUCUUCAUGUCAGUAGGUCAGCAAACAGAGAAAGGACCCUGAUUCUAAGAGACAGAGUUUCCUCUAAUAAUGGUGUCAGGGUAGAGUAUGUCUGGAACUCAGGGGAUUCAGUAGGGCAUCUCUCGCUGCUUCCAUAUUUGGUAAAAACUUCAAAUGGGUAAUUGAAGCAUCUAUGACCUGACAAAGGCCUGGAAACUAGGGGCACAGACAUGAUAAUCUGGGCUUCCUCAUCAGGUGAGUAACCAAGACUUGUAGAAAUGCUGGCUGAGAGAGAAAGGAUAAAGGAGAGGUAAGUGGGGAGGGACUGACUGUAACAACAUGGCCUGAGAUUUAACCCACUAAACCUUCUGGGUCUUUUUUUUUAUAUUUUUGUUUUUGUUUUAGAACUUGUGAUGAGCUAUCAGUUUGAACAAGCAGGUGCAAGGGGUGGACUGAACAGAACAUCUUCAACAUAGAGUCACCCUUAGAAUCCUCGAAAGUGGGUUCCAUCCCUGGAAAGCAGAAGAUUCAAGAAGUAUUGGAAAUUGGGACUUAUGUUCCAAAAUUCAAAGAAUUAACAAUUAUUCUGGAGUCUUCAAAAGCGUUGUAAAUGAAUGUACCCUGAUAAACUUGAGUAACAUCAAAUAUUGCAUAUUGCUCAUCCCAGCAAAAAACAGCAACAAAAAAGAGUGCUUUAUGGUGGCCCUGUUUAGGGAGCACCCACAUUCGCAAGUGUCUUCAGUCUAAUGUGUCUGAGGGGCAGGGGGAGAUACCAUUGGCGG
Molecule: long non-coding RNA, 821 nt
Filed under: Vulpes vulpes (red fox)
Lineage: Eukaryota; Metazoa; Chordata; Mammalia; Carnivora; Canidae
Description: lncRNA (ENSVVUG00000002572.1)
Source: RNAcentral